This 283-nucleotide unclassified non-coding RNA is filed under the name Hevea brasiliensis (rubber tree). The record is from RNAcentral. Lineage: Eukaryota; Viridiplantae; Streptophyta; Magnoliopsida; Malpighiales; Euphorbiaceae.
CCGGGUUUUGGUUUUGAUCUGCUCUGGAGAGGUAAUUGAUUUGAUGGAUCAUAAAUAUAAAUGCAUUUUUAGUUUAGUUGAUGGGUUUUCAAGUGCCUUAGGUUUUAGGUGGUAUUAAAGAGAAAGAGAGAGAGAGAGAGAGUCCUUAAUAAUUGGGUCUUUUGCGUAUUCUUGGGGGCGGAACCAUGGAAGUGGGUUUUAGAGAGGGUUGUGAGAACUGAGUUUUGGAGGAGGAGAUCGCUUGGUCCACUUUGUUUUAUACAGCAGAGAAAAGUGUGAGGCG